Molecule: long non-coding RNA, 105 nt
Organism: Gavialis gangeticus (Gharial)
Lineage: Eukaryota; Metazoa; Chordata; Crocodylia; Gavialidae
Exons: 3
Source: RefSeq, a predicted model, not a curated record
GGAGAGAAAUAGAAAAAGUCCAUUCUAAGUCCAGCAAGCUGGGUGCCAGGCCUCCCUCAGCAAGACAGAGCUGACAGAUAACAUUUUCUUGACAUUUCCUGCCAG